RNAcentral lists this ribosomal RNA (301 nucleotides) under uncultured bacterium. Its description in RNAcentral is "partial 16S ribosomal RNA". It matches the Rfam family "Bacterial small subunit ribosomal RNA", at positions 509 to 809 of the family's 1533-position model. The record is from RNAcentral.
CAGCCGCCGCGGUAAUACGAAGGGGGCUAGCGUUGCUCGGAAUGACUGGGCGUAAAGGGCGCGUAGGCGGCUUGCACAGUCAGAUGUGAAAUUCCUGGGCUUAACCUGGGGGCUGCAUUUGAUACGUGUGGGCUAGAGUGUGAAAGAGGGUCGUGGAAUUCCCAGUGUAGAGGUGAAAUUCGUAGAUAUUGGGAAGAACACCGGUGGCGAAGGCGGCGACCUGGUUCAUGACUGACGCUGAGGCGCGAAAGCGUGGGGAGCAAACAGGAUUAGAGACCCCCGUAGUCCCUGUCUCUUAUAA